UGUAAGCGUAUACCAAAGUUGUUGCAGUUAAAACGCUCGUAGUCGGAAUUUGGCAGUUCCGGAUGUGUGCACGUCGUGUGCGCACUUCGCGGGGAUUGCUUUUGUGGUCUUGCGUAGGAUGAGGCACUUUUAUUAGUGAACGUCCUCACGCAACCACUUUUUACUGUGAGAAAAUCAGAGUGCUCAAAGCAGGCAUUUGCCGUGAAUGUAUUAGCAUGGAAUAAUAGAAUAGGACUUGGUUCUCUUUUGUUGGUUUGUUGGGACUGAGUAAUGAUUAAGAGGGACAGUUGGGGGCAUUUGUAUUUCGGUGCUAGAGGUGAAAUUCUUAGAUUACCGAAAGACAAACUGCUGCGAAAGCGUCUGCCAAGGAUGUUUUCAUUGA
This 382-nucleotide ribosomal RNA is filed under the name uncultured eukaryote. RNAcentral's name for it is "partial 18S ribosomal RNA". It matches the Rfam family "Eukaryotic small subunit ribosomal RNA", at positions 592 to 976 of the family's 1831-position model. The record is from RNAcentral.